Mangifera indica (mango) is the source of this 4667-nucleotide long non-coding RNA. RefSeq lists it as uncharacterized. The record is from RefSeq and is a predicted model, not a curated record. Lineage: Eukaryota; Viridiplantae; Streptophyta; Magnoliopsida; Sapindales; Anacardiaceae. The transcript has 2 exons.
CUUCUGCAUCUUCUUUGAUUAUAAUCUAACACCAAUUUUGCUUGUAACACUCAAGAAACUGUGCUUUUGAUGAUAUAAAUAUUAGUAAGUUCUUUGUAGUAUUCAUAAGGUUCUGCUGUUGAGUAUGAAGGAUUAAGUUGGAAUAUUUUUGUCCUUUUUUCAGUAUGUUAUCUACGUGAGUUUUAAGGCUGCUUGGAAUCAUAGAUAUCCUGUUCUUCUGGUUGACCUGUUGUUACAUUAUUGUUACCAUCUCACAGGCAGAAUAUGAUUCAUUAUUUGUUACCAUCUCACAGGAAGAACAUCUUACCUUAUUGUGUGAAGAAAAAAAAUUGAAAUGGUUCUCUUUGUUUUUGUUUAAAGGAAAGAAAAGAAUUAAUUUAAUUUUUUCUUAGCUAUCAAGAGCUUGUUUGUCUAGUAAUUAAUUUAUGUCAUGCUUCCUUAAUAAAUACCCAGUAAAAAACCUGUGGUAGGUGAAGGCUGAAGUUUAGCCAACUGAAAGCUCCUCUCGUCACAAUGGGGGUAGUUACCAUUGGGGAAAAGUACUUUAAGUUCAACCUUGGUGAGUCAUAAAAGUUAUAAUCUAGGGAAAUAUGCGGCUUACAUUGGUACAGCAAAAGGCUUGGUGCUAGACUGAUCUGUAGGGGAUGGCUAGUGUGACUACAGUCAAAACUAAUUGUUCGAGGUGGAAUUGUGUUUGUUCUAAGGUUACUUUUGACUGAAUGAUGAGAUAACUUGGUGGACAUUCCUUUUCCAAUGUGGCUUGUUCUUUGUUUCAUAUUUUUCAGUAGUAUAACAAGAAACAAAUGGAAUAGAAAUUUAAGUGAACUAGAAUGGAUAAGCCCAAGGUGGGUGAGCUAUUGAUUUCACAAAGUUGUAAGUUGAGUAACCAACACAUUAGAGUUUAUGUACUCCUUUCUUGAGCGUUGCUUUAUGUGCUUUGAAGGUUAUAAGUUUGGAGUAAUAAAGGUGGCUAGAUACCUUUUCACAUUCUUUCGUUGUGGAGAAACCUUUAUUGCCUACUCUUUGUUUUGGUUUGUCGUUGGCAAGGAGUGAGUAAACUUCUAAUGGGAAUUCCGAUUGUACAAACUUUGACCAACAUGUUAAUAUGGUUUGAUUGCAUUGAAGUACUUGUUGAGUUGUAUUUUAUUAUGUUAGGAAGACUAUCAAGCCAUAUUAAGAUAGAAUCUGUAUUUUCAUAAUUUGACUUAAUUUGUUUCCUUCUAUAACUCCAUUGUAACUGUAUAUAUUACAAUGUUCUAUUCUCUAUCAAUACAAGGAAAAUAUUUUGAACUCCUUCUCUCUGAAUUCACAUGGUAUCAGAGCCUCCUUCAAGGCUCUACAUUUUUUUCCGACGAACCAACCCCUACUUUUCCGGCCACCUUACUCCCUUCCUUUUCUAAUGGUUGUGCCUUUUUCGUUUGGAUCGGUUGUGUCUCGUCAACAAAACCUUGAAGAUUUGUCGUCGGAAUCCUUCCCACUCGUUGCCAGGCGCCACGUGUUGUUUUGGCCUCCACCAUUGUCGAUCUCUCUCUCCGGUGACUGUGGUGUCUCACUGGCAUCAUCAAUCGACUCAGAAGAAGCUGACGGUCAUUUCUGUUGAAGUCCCCCCUCCACCGGCCACUGGAUGUGUUGCUGGUGACAUUGUCGGAAACCUCCUCCAUUAUUCACGUUGCCGAACGCGUCUAGAAGCCCUCUCUCACUGUCCAUCAAACUUUUGAUUAGAUUUGUUUAGCCUCUAGUUGCUCUAAGUCUUCAGUUUUCUCUAGAAGCUUUUUCCGUUCUCUGAUAUGUGCUUCAACAUGUCCAUUGAGAGCUCCAAAUCAGGUUUGUUUAAUUCUUUUCCAGUUAUCACUACAGAAAAAUUAAUAGGGAGCAAUAAUUAUAUCUCAUGGGCUGCAUCCGUUGAACUAUUGUGCAUGGGACAGGGUUUUGAAGACCAUCUCACUAAGAAGGUUGAGGAUAUUAUGUUUGAUAAAACUAUAUGGACUGGGACUAAUGCAUUAUUAUGUAGCAUGCUAUGGAAUAUCAUUGAUCCUCAACUUCAUUCUAUUUUUAAAGUUUAUUGGACAUGCAAUGACAUAUGAAAUCAAGUUAAACUCUUAUACAUCAAUGAUAUUCAACAAUUAUACUUUGUUGUAUUGACCUUGAUUACUUUAAAACAAUAAGGAAUGAGCAUGUCUGAGUUUCUUGGUCGGAUGACAUACUUGAAAACUAAAUUUAAUUUAUUAUUAUCUGCUGGUAAAAUUACAGUAGACGACUUAGCCCAGUGAGACAUUUUUUAUGGUUCUCACAUUGACCGCCAUUAGUCUUGACCUUAUUCAUGUUCGAGAUCAAAUUCUUGUUAGUGCGUCGUCCCAACCCUUGAUGAAGUCUUUGCUCAGCUCCUCCGUGUGUCUUCCCCAGGUGUUAUGAUUGGAUCUUUCGGUAUCACCAAUUUUGAGUCAUUUUCCUUUGUCGCCAAGAAUCAACAGCUAGACAAUCGUGGUGGCUAAGGGAAUCGGCCAAAGUGCAGUUAUUGUAACAAGUGGGGUCACAAGAGAGACAAAUGUUAUAGGCUACAUAGUCGUCCAUCUCGAAUUGCCAAUGUUGUUCAGUCCAUCUCGAAAUGCACCAGAAUCAAGGACCCAUGGCCUGGAAGGAGAAAAGUAAGACACAUAGUUGAAGUACCCGAAUGAGCAAUCGAAACAAUAGAAGAUGAAGACUGUUUUGUUGUCUGAUACCGGAGAUAGUCUUCAAGAUCAGCGCCUGUGAGUGUCAAGAACGGUUGAGGUUGUACUCUAAAGGUUUCAAGAGGAGAAUCAAAUGUACUGGUCUGAACAACAUUGGCAGUUUGAGAUGGACGACCAUACUACUUAUAACAUUUGUCCCUGUUGUGACUUUACUUGUUACAAUAACUACACUUUGGUUGAUUCCCUCACCACCAUGAUCACCUGACUGUCGAUUCUAGGAGACAAGGGCAGAUGAGUCAAAAUUGGUGGUACUGGAAGAUCCAGUUAUAACACCUAAAGAAGACACAUGGAGGAGCCGAGCAAAGACUUCAUUAAGGGUUGGGACAAACACACUAGCAAGAAUUUAAUCUCGAACAUGAGUAAGGUUAAGACUAAUGGUGGUCAAUGUGAGAACUAUAAAAAAUUUGUCUCGCUGGGCUAAAUCAUCUGUUGUAGUUUUACCAGUAGGUAAUAAUAAAUUGAAUUUAGUUUUCAAGGAUGGCAUCCGACUGAGAAAGUCAAACGUGCUCAUUCCUUAUUGUUUCAAAGUAACCAAGUCGAUACAACAGAGUAUAAUUGUUAGAUAUCAUUGGUGUAUAAGAGUUUGGUUUGAUUCCAUACAUCAUUACAUGUCCUAUAAGCUUUAAAAAUAGCAUGAAGUUGAGAAUUGAUUGUAUUCCAUAACACGCUGCAUAACAAUACAUCAAUCCUAGUCUAUAUAGUUUUAUCAGAUAUAAUGUCUUCCGCCUUCUUAGUGAGAUGGUCUUCAAAACCCUAUCCCAUGCACCAUAGUUCAACGGAUGGUUAUAGGUGGAUCUAUGCUAUUAAAGUUGGUCCUGAUGGUCAGGUUGAUAGGUUGAAAGCGUAGUUGGUGGCUAAAGGAUACACUCAGACAUAUGACCUUGAUUAUCAUGAGAUUCUCUUCUGUGGCCAAAAUGUCAUCUGUUCGACUAUUUUUAUCCAUGGCUGCCUUUCGACAAUGGUGUCUGCAUUGGUUGGACAUCAAGAAUGCUUUUCUUCAUGGUGAACUACAAGAAGAGAUCUAUAUGGAGCAACCUCCUGGUUUUGUUGCUCAAGGGAGUUUGGAUUGAUUUGGGGAACCACUUGCAGAUCCUGGGAGAUAUCGGAGACUGGUUGAUAAACUCAAUUAUCUCACCAUCACACGACCAGAUAUUUCUUUUUCUGUUAGUGUUGUUAGUCAAUUCCUUUAGUCUUCAUGUAAGUCAUUGGGAUGCAGUAGUUCAGAUUUUGAGGUACAUUAAGAGGGCACCUGGAAAAGGGUUGCUAUAUGAGAAUAAAGGACAUACUCAAAUCGUUGGGUCUUCAUAUGCGGAUUGGGCAGGUUCUCCGUCAAAUAGACGUUCCACUUUUGGGUAUUGUGUAUUGGUUAGAGGAAAUCUCGUAUCAUGAAAAAGUAAAAAGCAAGAUGUUGUUGCCAGAUCAAGUGUAGAAGCAGAAUAUCGUGCUAUGACCUUACCCACUUGCGAGCUCAUUUGUUUAAAGCAAUUGAUUCAAGAAUUAAAGUUUACAGAAGUAUGACAAAUGUUAUUACUUUGUGAUAAUCAAGCUGUUAUUCACAUUUCCUCAAACCUAAUGUUUCAUGAAAGAACAAAACAUAUAGAAAUUGAUUGUCAUUUUGUUCGAGAAAAGAUUUUGUCCGGUUGUAUCUCCACAAGUCAUAUCAGUUCAAAUGAUCAACUAGCUGACAUACUAAAUGUCUUCGAGGUCCUCAAAUUAGUUUCAUCUGUAGCAAGUUUGGUGCAUAUGAUUUAUAUGCACCAGCUUGAGAGGGAGUGUUGAGUUGUAUUUUAUUAUAUUAGGAAGGCUAUCAAGCCAUAUUAGGAUAGAAUCUAUAUUUUAGGAAUUUGACUUAAUUUGUUUUCUUCUAUAACUCCAUUGUAACUAUAUAUAUUGCAAUGUUUUGUUUUCUAUCAAUACAAGGAAAAUAUUUUGAACUCC